Molecule: ribosomal RNA, 427 nt
Filed under: uncultured bacterium
Lineage: Bacteria
Description: partial 16S ribosomal RNA
Rfam family: Bacterial small subunit ribosomal RNA
Source: RNAcentral
CCUACGGGGGGCAGCAGUAGGGAAUAUUGCACAAUGGGGGAAACCCUGAUGCAGCGACGCCGCGUGAGUGAUGAAGGCCUUCGGGUCGUAAAGCUCUGUCGUAUGGGAUCAUGUACCAUGCAAGAAAGGAUCGGCUAACUUCGUGCCAGCAGCCGCGGUAAGACGAGGGAUCCUAGCGUUGUUCGGAAUUAUUGGGCGUAAAGCGGGUGUAGGUGGGCUUAUAAGUCAGGUGUGAAAUCCCAGGGCUCAACCCUGGAAGUGCAUUUGAUACUGUAAGCCUUGAAUGUGGUAGAGGUAGAAUUCCUGGUGUAGUGGUGAAAUACGUAGAUAUCAGGAGGAAUACCAGAGGCGAAGGCGGGUAACUGGACCAAAUGACACUGAGACCCGAAAGCGUGGGGAUCAAACAGGAUUAGAUACCCCAGUAGUC